RNAcentral lists this ribosomal RNA (529 nucleotides) under uncultured bacterium. RNAcentral describes it as "bacterial SSU rRNA". It matches the Rfam family "Bacterial small subunit ribosomal RNA", at positions 980 to 1509 of the family's 1533-position model. The record is from RNAcentral.
CUUGACAUCCAGAGAAUUUAGCAGNGAUGCUUUAGUGCCUUCGGGAACUCUGAGACAGGUGCUGCAUGGCUGUCGUCAGCUCGUGUUGUGAAAUGUUGGGUUAAGUCCGCAACGAGCGCAACCCUUAUCCUUUGUUGCCAGCGCGUAAUGGCGGGAACUCAAAGGAGACUGCCGGUGAUAAACCGGAGGAAGGUGGGGAUGACGUCAAGUCAUCAUGGCCCUUACGAGUAGGGCUACACACGUGCUACAAUGGCGCAUACAAAGAGAAGCGACCUCGCGAGAGCAAGCGGACCUCAUAAAGUGCGUCGUAGUCCGGAUUGGAGUCUGCAACUCGACUCCAUGAAGUCGGAAUCGCUAGUAAUCGUAAAUCAGAAUGUUACGGUGAAUACGUUCCCGGGCCUUGUACACACCGCCCGUCACACCAUGGGAGUGGGUUGCAAAAGAAGUAGAUAGCUUAACCUUCGGGAGGGCGUUUACCACUUUGUGAUUCAUGACUGGGGUGAAGUCGUAACAAGGUAGGCGUAGACGU